UCUGGUGGCCAUGCCGGGGGGGAAACACCCGUUCCCAUCCCGAACACGGAAGUUAAGCCCCCCAGGGCCGAUGGUACUGGCGGUUCUCACCGCCGGGAGAGUAGGUCGCCGCCAGAG
RNAcentral lists this ribosomal RNA (117 nucleotides) under Armatimonadota bacterium. Lineage: Bacteria; Bacillati; Armatimonadota. The record is from RNAcentral.